AAUUUCAAAAUCUAUGCAACAUUUUUUUAAUUUUUUUUCUUUCUUUCAUUUGAUAAUGAUAUUAAAAUUGGGUUGGGUUUAGGUAACUGGGCUUCAUUUUCUUGAAUCUAUGAUUGCACCUUCCAGUUUUGCUCUAUUAAUAUCAUUGAACUAAUUGUUUAAUUUUAAUUGAUAGUUGAAUGAUUGAUUUAUUUGUUUAUAAAUU
Molecule: long non-coding RNA, 205 nt
Filed under: Lathyrus oleraceus (garden pea)
Lineage: Eukaryota; Viridiplantae; Streptophyta; Magnoliopsida; Fabales; Fabaceae
Description: Pisum sativum (pea) long non-coding RNA (PSAT_LNC009919)
Source: RNAcentral